Molecule: long non-coding RNA, 1336 nt
Organism: Pyrgilauda ruficollis (rufous-necked snowfinch)
Lineage: Eukaryota; Metazoa; Chordata; Aves; Passeriformes; Passeridae
Exons: 3
Source: RefSeq, a predicted model, not a curated record
AGUGGUUGGUUCUGCACACACACGGCCUACUCAGCUUCCUGAACAGUCUUCCUCCUCACAACAGAAUGGUAGUUUUUCAGAUAUAUCUCCAGUUCAAGCUGCAAAAAAGGAAUUCGGACCCCCUUCACGUAGAAAAUCCAGUUGUGUGAAAGAGGUUGAAAAACUGCAAGAGAAACGUGAAAAAAGAAGGUUACAGCAGCAGGAACUUAGAGAAAAAAGAGCUCAGGAUGUUGAUGCUACAAAUCCAAAUUAUGAAAUUAUGUGUAUGAUAAGAGAUUUCAGGGGAAGUUUGGAUUAUAGACCACUGACAACUGCAGAUCCUGUAAGUACCUAAGUGAUGUGGAAAUUUUUUAUCCUUCUGAAUUUUGCUCUUUUUUUCCAAUUUUUUCAUAUGUAUGUACCUGGCCUUGAACACUUCAACAGAAGGAGCAUCCACAAGUUCUCUGGGCAAUCUAUGUCUCACCACCCUCAUAGUAAAGAAUUUCUUCCUAACAUCUAAUAUAAAUCUCUCCUAUUUUAGUUUAAAACCAUUUCCCCUCAUCACUAUACUCCCUGCUAGAGUCCCUCCCCAUCUUUCCUGUGGGCCCCCUUUAUGUACUAGAAAGCUGCUAUAAGGUUUCCCCAGAGCCUUCUCUUCUCCAGGCUGAACACCCUCAGCUCUCCCAGCCUGUCUCCAUAGCAGAGGUGCUCCAGCCCCCGAUCAUCUUCAUGACCUCCUCUGGACUCACUCCAACAGGUUCAUGUCCUUAUGCUGGAACCCCCAGAGCUGGAUGCAGUACUCCAGGUGGGGUCUGACAAAAGCAGAGUAGAAGGGGAAAAUGACCUCUCGACUUGCUGGUCACACUGCUUUUGAUACAGUAUAGAAUGUGAUUCACUUUCUGGGCUGUAAGCACACAUUGCCAGCUCAUAUUCAGUUUCUCAUCCACCAAUAUCUCCAAGUCCUUCUUGGCAGGCCUGCUCUCGAUCUACUCAUUGCCCAGCCAGUAUCCAUGUUUGGAAUUGCCCUAACCCAGGUUCAGGACCUUGCACUUGGCCUUGUUGGACUUCAUGAAUUUCACAUGGGCCCAACUCUGAAGCCUGUCCAGGUCCCUCUGGAUAGUAUUCCUUCCCUCCAGCAUAUCAACCACACCACACAGCUUGGUGUUGUCAGCAAAAUUGCUGAGGGUGCACUUAGUCCUACUGCCCAUGUCACCAACAAAGAUGUUAAACGGCGCUGGUCCCAAUACCAACUCUCGAGGAACAACACUCAUCACUGGUCUCCACUUGGACAUUGAGCCAUUGACUGUAACUUGUCGCCCUGAUUUUUUAAGAUUUUCUAAGCCUUCUGAUGUUUACA